CUCUCCCUGUCUCCUCACAUGACGACGCACCGGUCGGCUCCUCUGAGGCGGCGAACCGCAGCAUCGUUGCUGACCUAGGGUUCGCCCUCCGUGUCAUUGGCCGUUUAGGAUCGUCUGGGCCCUGGCACAGCAGGCCCCAUGAGGGCGGCGGUGGCAGGGGGAAACCCUAGGUCACCUACCGGUGUAGUGGCCCCGACACAGGUGGUGCGGACGCGUGCUCGCCGGUGUGCAAACGGGGUUCCACGGUCAUAGCGGCGACGCAGGGCCGUCCCUCGUCCUCGCCUCUCUCUUGCUGCGCAAAAGUCCAGCCAUCAAGGAGACAGAAUGUCCAAAUGAUUUGGCUAUCCAGUCCCUUUUAUCAGCAGUGGAUUCAUUUGGUGCUGACUACAAGCUUCUUGGGAUACAGGCUUCCAGGGAGCCAACGACAUGAUAUAAGAAACUUUUCAUGCUUCCAUUGGCCCAAUUCUACAAUGGCAUUGUCAGGUUUUAUGUGUCUCACAAAACUCAUUCGCUUUCCUGCACUCAAAUCACAGUUUAGUGUACUUAGAGCAACUGUGUUUUUACUUUCCAGUCACCCUUUCACAACUGGACUUAACAGAUGGAAACAUGCGGAUAAAGUAAUUUAGUUGGAGCUAUUGGAAUUUACGGCUCAUAGUACAUGUUCUCUUUGCGUUUCCUUGCAUCUAAUUUUCAUGGAUUUGCCAUGUUUAAUUUAAUUCUAGGAGCAAAGGAAGAGAUUACACAGGAUGGCCAUGCGGUUCUGCAUUGGUUUUGUGUCAGGGAGGACUAAAUGGUCCGUGGACAAUUUGUUCAGAUCUUUGAUAUCGUCCUCAUCUUCUUUGCAAUUCCAGUUUGAUCCCCCUAAGGCUGGGGUUCCAAUGCAUCACAUAUUUGACCAUAAAUGUAGCGGAUAUAGAAUGGGUGGUUAGUACCUACUAUAAAAUUUAUCACUACCGGUUUCUGAAAGAUAUAUUUAUGUACUCCUAUUGAUCGUUUAGUACUCUAGCCAAAUUCCUUUUGACUUUUCAUGCUCAUAGGUCAUCCAACUUUGUAUUUAUUUUUGGCGCUCCAUCUUCCUGUCUAUUAAUUGAUAUCGGUUUGUUGCCAACCCUUCUCUGGCACUAAUCGGUCUAAGAGUUUUUCCAACCAUAUCGAAGACAUCUAUAUGUUUCUAUCCUCACUUCAUCAUCAUAAAUGAAUUAUAUAGGUGUCGUAAGAGUUCUUGCAAGUCGAAGCUUUUGAAAACCUCAGUAAUGCUAUUGGAAUCUUGGUCAUCUCCACAGAAUAUUCAGCCUCAAGCAUUUUGCCUGUGUUUUUAAUAAUAUUCCUGUCCUUGCACAAAAAACUUACUUUGACUGAUCUUCAGGUAAGCUACCUGUGCACUAAAGUUUCUUUAUUUUCUGCUCUCAUACUUGCCUUUCCUCUCUAUACCUAUCAUACCGUCAUCUACUUCCUAAAGCAAACCUUGUGGUGUUUAACUAUAGACUAACAAGAUAUGCAAUUAACCACUCUCUUUCACAGUUCAAAAUUGUGUUACACGCACUGCUCCUUGUGUAAAAGGAGACCAGCUAAGCACUCUCUUCGAGAAUUAAAAAAUGGGUUCCAAGACCUGAUGCUUGUGUUCAAGGAAACCAGCUACACGAAGGCUCACAUACCUUCCUUCUUACGAUGCUGUGUCUGAAGAUACUACUACAUCGAUUAUAUUCACUAAAAAAGUUGUUUCUUCGGGGCAUCAGCUGAGAAGACCAUAGGGUGCUAUGUGGAAGCCAGCUGGGAAGCCAGAACAUACAACUCUCAUGGGAGGUCAUAUUCCCUUUGUUGAAUUUUUGUUUCAGCCUCAACAAGAGCCGGACCAAUUUAGUGGUGGCUAUUAUGGGUAUCCCCAAGGAUACUAUCCAUAUGGUUGCUUGCCCCCUCAAAAUCCUGCCAUAUACACCUACACAACAAUAUCCAAGGUAUCAAAGUUACCAACAGCAGCCAGCAUUGCAGCCUCCACCAUAACAGUAGGAGUAAAGAUGACCCGAGAGGAUCUUUUGCAAACUGCCCCCAAUGUUGUUGGGGCAGCAUCUUUGGUGCAUCAGCACGACAAUCUCCUUACUUUUGCACUGUUAUAUGUAUGUUCCAUAGAAUGUGUUUAGUUAUGUCCAGGGAAACAAUGCUACCUAUGAUUCUGUCUAUUGUACAACAACACCAUGCCCAAAGCCACAUUUACAUGUACAAAUCAUGUGGCAUCGCACGUAUUGUAUGCCUAUGCUUCAUUACUCCCUAACACCAUAUGUAAUAUAUUCUUAUUUGUUGUAAGACCAAUUACAGCCACUUACUUUUAAUUAAUUUAUCAUAUAAUUUUAAUGUGUAA
This is a long non-coding RNA of Sorghum bicolor (sorghum), 2356 nucleotides long. RefSeq lists it as uncharacterized. NCBI's taxonomy places the organism in Eukaryota, Viridiplantae, Streptophyta, Magnoliopsida, Poales, Poaceae. The transcript is spliced from 4 exons. The record is from RefSeq and is a predicted model, not a curated record.